AAAAAAAAAAAAAAAAACUUCAUUGUAGGCAACAUGAACAAUUUUACUAUGAUUUUUUAUUUUUUUUUAACUAUACCUAUCUUAAUGAAAAUAUUUUCUAAUUACUUUAAAUAAUCACCAAGACAUCAUUAUUCUCAUUAUGAAAGUACCAACCCCUCUAGGCCAACAUCAUUGCCUUUCUUUGCACCAAUCUAACUUUCCUCAUAUUUAACUAAUCAUUCAAGUGUUUUACAGAAGUUUUUCUUGUUAAAAAAAAAAAAAAAGAAUACUUCAAUUGAUUAUUGCAAAUCAAUUUGAAGAUCUGUUUGGAUCCUGUAAACAAAAAAAAAGAAAAAAAAAAAAAAAGCCAAUUAUCGACAUCAUCAUAUGAGCCACAUUUCAAAAUUAGAAAAAAUGAAAAGCAAAGAAAAACAGUUUUGGGAAGUAAUCAGAAUUUACGGCUGAGAAGUCGCCACGUCAGCUUUUAAACUCCCCUGCUGACCUUCGUUGAAUAGUCGUCAUUUUCGAACCUUCGAACCAGGCUGUUCAUGCACCGGCGUUGGUCAGCUCUGAUUCUCCAAUCCACUCUGCGAAAUCUCGUCCCUACUCCCAACUCCAUUCAUUUAACAUACACCCCGCUCUCUUUGCCACCCACGUGCCCAAUCGGGGUGUUUCCGUAACACGACCUAAUCAUAAAUCCCCCUUGAAAUACCCGAAACACCCUCAGACCAGUAAACCAACGACCACCUAAUUCUAAUUUUUCCUUUUACAUUCAGCGCUUUUUUCUCUAAAUUAAAAAUUAAAAAAACCCGAAACAAAAAUAAAAAAUAUGAAAAGACAAAAUGAAAAGGGGCUGUGUUGUUUUGCGGAGAAGGAGGACUACUACUAUGUGGUGAGGUGCAGGGAAUGAGGGUGAGGAUUAGUGUGAUUUUGAGAUGAUAUAUAUUUUAGACAACGAGUAUCAUGGGUCUGUGGAUUGAGAUGAUGAGUUGCCAUGUAUGAUUCCAUAGAUUUAACGAGCCCAGAUCUUUCCGUAUAUUUUAUUUCUCUGUAUGAUAUUAACUCUGUACAAUUCCCCAACUCUUGCUAUAUAACCCUCUGUCACUCUCGUUUUAGUUUUUCAGACCGUGUCUCUUUCGCUCUUUCUCUCUAUCUCUUUCUAGUUUCUGACUAAAUUCUUCCUUCAUUCUCCAUUUUUAACGUUUUCUCGCCGUAGAUCUCAUUUUUUGUAUCGGUUUCCGGCGAGAAUCUGAGAUCUGAAUCAGAGGUUUCUCGCCGGCGGAUGUUGAGAGUUUGACCGGGGAGCGAUCUGAGAGUCGGGAGUGGUUGCGAUGGGGCAGUGUUACGGGAAGCCGGUUGUGAAUGGGAACGGUAAAGGAGGUGUGGUCGAGGAGUAUCCGCAAUCGCCGUUGCCGUCGGUGGGGAACGGAGCGGCGAGCGUGCAGUCAGUGAAGACGCCUGCUCGAUCAUCGUCGACGAGCCCCUGGCGGAGUCCCUUCCCGCACGGCAGUGCUUCCAGUCCGCUUCCGGCUGGAGUGGCGCCGUCUCCGGCGAGGUCGUCGACUCCGCGGAGGUUCUUCCGUCGCCCGUUCCCGCCUCCGUCGCCGGCGAAGCAUAUCAAGGCGUCUCUCGCGAAGCGGCUCGGUCCUGCGAAGCCGAAGGAGGGUCCGAUCCCGGAAGAAGGUACGGAACCUGAACAAUUACUUGAUAAGAGCUUCGGCUACGGUAAGAAUUUUGGUGCCAAGUAUGAAUUGGGGAAGGAGGUUGGGCGAGGGCACUUUGGUCAUACCUGCUCUGCUAGGGGCAAGAAAGGAGAGCUAAGAGACCAACCUCUUGCAGUGAAGAUCAUAUCAAAAGCGAAGGUUCGAUAUUAUUACUUUCUUCUGAAUUUGAUGUCUCAUUGAUUUUGAUCAGUUGAAUUGGAUUUACAUUUCUUGUUGCUUUACUCUUAUCGAUACAUCUGGUUAACAUUUCUUGUUGUUUUUCCGUGUAAGGCUGGUUGAAUUGGAAAAUGAUUGAACUUUGCUUGUUUUUUGUCUCUGUUUUUUUUAAGGUGAUAUUGGAUGCGUUGCAUGAUCUGAAACCUAAACCAUGUGCUUAUUCGGCAAUGUGUCCCAAUUCCAACCGGUUUAGGUCAGGUUCAUAUUUAUUUCCAAACAAGAAUGUUGUUUUUUCCCCGAUAAUUUGGAGUAAAGUUAGGAAGUAGCGUCUGCUAGAACGAUCAGAAUAUAUACCAAAUCAAUUUUUCUUAUAAAAAGAAAAUUAUUGCUGAAAUGAAAAAUCUUUGAGCUAAAACUGAAUUGGAAUACCUCAAAUAUUAGUAAUGAUAAAAUAUUUAUUUUUAUGUAUCAUUGUCGAAGAGAGUACAAUGCAGGUUAAUAGUAUGUAUUUAUAGUGAGAGCCCUUUUCUGUAAUUUUUCCACUUCAAUCCAUUGACCUCACUCUCCUCUCUAUGUUAAACAUUUUGGUAGCCAAAUAUGAUAUAUUUAGUUGAUAGUUACUUCCAAAAUUCUCAGUUCUCCCAAGGUUAUUUGAUAUGCAAGGGACAGAGAAAUAGGUGCUUGUCCAGCAGGAAUAUUAGGCAUCUGAUAUGGAGGCCUAAAAAUUUCAAAUGUGAUCUUACCAUGCUCAAGUCGCUAUAUAUCCGUCAUGUAAGUGUUCUUUUUUUUUUUGAAAAAAAAAAAGAUCCAUCAAGCAUGUCAAUGUGAUUGACCAGAGUGUGGGUUAUAAAGUCCAUCCUUUUAUUCUUGUUUCCUAAAUAAACAUAAUUAUUGAUGCUUUGAUCAUUGCACACAUAUUGGACUUGAUAGAGAAAUUCCAGAUCAAUUAUCUUUCAUUUGGCCAUUUCUGUUUCUUGAGUUGUUAACAUUCAAUUAAAUGAAUUCUGAACCAUGCACUGUAAAGAUUUUGGAGCUAAUAAAUGUUUCAGUUAUCUAAUGUCUUUUCUAGACUGCUAUAAAAGCAUGUUGUUAAAGCUUUGCGAGAUCUUCGGCUGGGUUUUUCUUUUAGAUAGUCUUAACAAUAACUAAUCAUGUCCGAAAAUACUGAUGGUAGAAAAACGGUAUUACUGAAAUUCUUGCAUCAAUUUUUGGAAAUGAUGUGAAGAGAGAAGCAGGAGGGAAAGAAAAUUAAGAUGCCAGAUCAUUGCAAAUAUCUGUGGUCCUGGUUGGACUGCAUGUGUAUUUGUCUAACAUCAAAGAAUAAAAGUUAAGGUGAUGUUUUAGCCAUAAUUAGUGAGAAUCAAACCUUCGACUGAAUCAACCACUUCAUGUGCCUUAACCAACGUGCCCUGGGUUUUCACACAAAAAGGGAUUGAAAUCCAUCUACUGUUUCCACACUAGAUAACUAGUCAAUAAAAAUUGUUAUUCGGGUUAUGGGUGAUCAAAAUCUUUUCAUUCUUAGCAAUUUUGUGUAACAAGUGGACCUCAAAAUUUAGAAGCUAUGAACUAUAUUCUUAUUAUUAUGUUUGACAUAUCAACUAUGUAGUUACAGUAUCUUAACAAUCUUAAAUUGACAGAUGACAACAGCAAUAGCAAUUGAAGAUGUUCGUAGAGAGGUAAAGAUAUUGAAGGCUCUAUCAGGGCAUGCGCAUCUAGUCAAAUUUUAUGAUGCAUGUGAAGAUGCAAAUAAUGUGUACAUAAUCAUGGAGUACGUAUUUUCUUGCUUACUAUUUUAAUUUUUGGAGACUGUAGUUCAACAUUGUUAGGACCACUUUGAGUCUAUCUGUUUUGUUAUAAGAUGUGCUAGUAAUCUUCAUCAAAUUUUCCUCAUAUGGAAAUUAUGAUUUCUCAGCACCUUAGAAUCCUAUUCAUGAUAAACCAUUGAUGAAUGUACAGUCAUCGUUCAUUUGUGAAUGUAUUGAAAUAAUAGGUUUUCAUUAUGUUUAACCAUGAAAUAUUCAAAGGUUCAGAUUUUACUGAUGAUUAUAAUAUCAACAAAGUCCUUUACAUGCUUCUGAAUUGGGUCUGAAACAUUUUGUUUUGCUUAUCAGAUUGUGCGAAGGUGGGGAACUACUAGACAGAAUUUUAUCAAGGUAAAAAAUGACCCUUUUUUCAUUCCCCCAGCACCACACACACACCCACCCCCACCCACACACACACACACAUAUUUAGAAGUUAUGAAAUAGUUCUCAUUUGUUGCAGAGGAGGAAGAUACACUGAAGAAGAUGCAAAAGCAAUUGUUGUACAAAUCUUAAGCGUUGUUGCAUUUUGUCAUCUUCAAGGCGUUGUGCACCGUGACUUAAAGCCAGAGGUUUCUUCUUUUGCUUGAUUAAUGUUGAUGAACUGUGACCGACUAUCUUAUUCCCUUUUUGAAAGAAGUGCUGCUUUCUUUCCUUUUACGUUUAAUUCUCUCACCAUAUAGUAAUAAUUACUGAUACUCUUUCCUCCUCGUUGUCGAACAGAAUUUCCUUUUUACCUCAAGAAGUGAAGAUGCUGAUAUGAAGCUUAUUGAUUUUGGUCUUUCUGACUUUAUUAGACCAGGUAAUGUUUAACUAUACUCAAUUUUUGAUCUAUAAUUUGUCCACUAUUUAACAAAAUUCUUAUCCUUUAUAAAUAACUAUACUUGAUGAAUUUAGAUAAUGGCCUUGUAUAUCCAUGUAUCAUGAAACUUUAAGGUCAUUUCGGGUGUGAUGAAGCUGGGCUAUGGUUAUAUUUGACAAAAAAGCACUUUAUAAUUUAGUAAAAGGCCCUUGCUUGUACUAGUGCAAAUAAGUAAUUGAAACAUACUCCGAAAGUUAUCAGUUCUUCAUCAUACCUUACUGUUUUUGUAGUACAUGUAAGCUUUUCUUCAGGAAGUUUCCUUUGGGCAUUCUUCUUAAGGCAAGUUAUUACAGACUUACAGUUACACUAUCCCUCCAAUUACUGGCAAUCCUAAUUAAGUUCUGGAUGAUGCAUUCUGCAUGCCAAUGAUUGAUCUCAACAAGUUAAUAACUUCCACUAAAGCUAGCUUGUCUCUUUAUCAACUUUGGUUCUAAUUAUCAAUUCAUGCAUGUGCACCAUCUCCAAAAGCUUAUUGGAGUCAUAACUUGGGUUUGUUUAGUUAGACUCAGAUCGUUAAGGAGACAAGCAUGGGGUCUAAGGUUGAGCAUGUUUUGUUUGAUUGCACCUGAACAAACCUCAUGUCAAGCUGAGUAUAAUGUAUCUGUGUGUUAAUUUUUUUGCUCUUCUUUCUAGCUUAUUUUAGGAUUUUUUUCCAAAAAAAAAAAAGAAUAAUAUUAAAAUCUGUGAAGUGUAGCUAAAUUUUGGGCUUCUUGUUUGUCACAAUUAACUUUUGCAGAACUUGUAGCAGGUUCAUGAUUUUUCCAACAACAAAUUUGUCAUAUCUUCUAUUUUACUAUUCUAUUUUGUCCUACCUGCUUAGGGAAUUGUUUAUUUAUUUAUUUGUCUAUCUCUUAGGGUAAGAUAGGGUGUAAAUGUUGACUGUAAGCAAAAAUUCUUUUGUAUAAAUGAGAAUUCUGUAGAUGACCAUGUUUAGAUGGUUCUCAGAUGUUCAAGAGUAGUUCAUUGCAAAAUGCUAUGUGUAUUCAAAUCUGAAAAGAAUUCUAUAAUUUUCAGCAUUCCAUGCAUAACAGUCAUAACUCAUUUUGCAGCCAGUCUGCCAGUAUUCAUUUCAUAACUUAGCUUGUUACCUAUUUCCCUCUCAAGUCAAAAUGGAAAUUUUCUUACCCGUUUGUUUUUCCCCCUUCCAAAUAUGCAUAUAUGCAGAUGAAAGACUCAAUGAUAUUGUUGGAAGUGCAUACUAUGUUGCACCUGAAGUUCUCCAUAGAUCCUAUUAUCUGGAAGCAGAUAUUUGGAGUGUUGGCGUUAUUACAUAUAUCUUGUUAUGUGGAAGCAGGCCUUUCUGGGCAAGGACAGAAUCAGGAAUUUUUCGUGCAGUAUUAAGAGCUGAUCCUAAUUUUGAUGAUUUACCCUGGCCUACAGUCUCAGCUGAAGCCAAGGAUUUUGUUAAAAGGCUAUUGAAUAAGGACUACAGGAAGAGAAUGACUGCCGUCCAAGCUCUGAGUAAGCACUAUUUCCUGUCAUUUCUGUGAAUGUGUUCCGGAUAUUAGCUGGAUGAUAAUUUUUUAAAUGCACUGCUGCUUUUCCUUUUUAUGGUUCUUUGUUAUGAGAAAAGCAACCAAGUUUAGCGGAAUGAAUGUCAUGGACCAGUAAUGGUUUUGUGAGUGAAAUGAUUUUGAUUGAUGGAGUUUUGUGAGGAAAGAUCUAUUUUGAAUGUGUUUAGAUGCUACUGCUGUCUUGUGAGUGUAAUGGUCAAAGAGCCGCUUGAAAUACUUAAGUGGCCAUUGAAGAUGGAAGCAUCUCUAGCAGUAGGCGCUCCCUUUUAGGUGGUUGAAUGUUUGGACUAUGAGAAAUUUGGUUUGAGUAUUAGCUAUUACUGACAUUACAUUGUGUAUGUUAUCACCAAUCAGAUUUCCCUUUUAGACGCCAUUAAUUAAUUUGACUAAUGAGGACAAUUCUUUAAUUGCAGCUCACCCCUGGUUGCGGGAUGGAAGUCAUCCUAUCCCUCUGGAUAUAUUGAUCUAUAAGUUGGUCAAAUCUUAUCUUCUUGCUACACCUUUUAAACGUGCUGCACUAAAGGUAUUGCCCUUGUAAUAUUUCACAUCACUCAAUGCCAUUCCUAUUAUUUCUUUGUCUGGAUGAACUUUUAGAACUUUGUAGACAUAGACGUAUCUUUAUACCUUUAGUUAUAUUUGUUUCUGGUUCUGGUGCAUUCCAUAGAGAAACUUUUAUGAACAACUAUCAGAUUUAUUUGUGAAAAGCUUCAAUCAUAUCUGAUCAGAAAAUAGGACUUGUGUGAAAACUGAAACAUGAAUAUUUAAAGAUUGAGGAUUGUAUUUCAAUAUGUUUUCAACAAUUGAUUUAGCUAUUUUUCUCAUGUUUUCAGGCUCUCUCAAAAGCUUUGACGGAGGAUGAGCUGGUGUACCUUAGAUCUCAAUUCAAGCUGUUGGAACCUGGUAGAGAUGGGAGUGUGUCUUUGGAUAGCUUCAAAAUGGUUAUUUACUGUUUCUUUUCUUUUAAUUUGAGCUUUCAUCCAAUUGUUCAUUUAUGAUUUGAGUAUCCCAUCAUUCAUUCUAUUUUCAGGCAUGACAUGGUCAUUUAGUUAAAGAACUAGUAUAGUUUCCUUUGUUGGGGUCUUUUUUUUCCUGUCUAUAUAAUAUCAAGUUUAUGGCUUACAGAAGUUAAAAAAAAAUUGUAGGCCCUUGCACGGAAUGCAACUGAUGCCAUGAAGGAAUCUAGGGUUCCUGAUAUUCUAAAUGCGGUACGACAUCUGAUAUUUUUUUCUGCUAGAAAUGUCAUAUUAACUGCUAUCAUUCUGGACUUCAUCAUGGAAGAGCUAGUUUUGAUAUUAGGAUCUAAGUUUACCAGGAUACAUUUUAAAUGAGAUCACUAGUUCUCAUCAAAUCAACAACUGCAAUUGCUUCACAUAUGAUUCUUUUAUCUCAGCCUUAAUUAUUUAAGCUAAUCAAUUCUAUAAUCUCAGGUCUUUUUCCAGUAAGUUGAAAAUGAAAUCAAUUUUAAACUUCUUAUCAGUUAGCAGUCAACUCUCUCGUCAUUGCUUGCAUUGAACUUAAUUCUAUUUGAUACAAGUUCCUUUUAUCUUUCUUUCUGCCUCUUAUAUUUUCUGUUGUUUUGUGUGCCUAUUUUCAUGUCCAUUGACUCUGUCAUCAGUCCUCAAAAUUGUUGCAUUGAUGUUAUUUCAGUUGGAACCAUUGUGCUAUAGAAGGAUGGACUUUGAAGAGUUUUGUGCUGCAGCUAUUAGCACACAUCAACUGGAGGCUUUGGAAGGGUGGGAGCAGAUCGCCUCUACCGCUUUUGAAAUUUUCGAGCAGGAGGGGAAUCGUGUCAUCUCAGUUGAGGAGUUGGCUCGGGUAUUUACAAUUACUCCUUCAAGAAACAAUUCAUACGCUUGUUUUAGCAUGUAUGGCUUCUUACUUCUGCGAUCCAUUAAUGCAGGAACUGAAUCUGGGUCCUUCAGCUUAUUCGGUCCUGAAAGAGUGGAUCAGAAACUCAGACGGAAAGCUCAGUUUACUUGGAUAUACCAAAUUUUUGCAUGGUGUAACUCAUCGAAGCUCAAACACCAGACAGCAUUAGUUUUUAGGCUUUGAGAUUUGAUUCCUUAAAAAUUCAUGACAUUCAGAAGAUUUGCAGGAAUAUUUUUUCUUCUUUGGGGGUUGGGGUAAAGGAAAAUUGUGUAUACAUGGAUGUUAGUCAAGCCAGAUGUGAUCUUGUUGAGGCGAAUUAAGUCAGAAGGAUCUCUUUGCUCGUUCCCUGCUUUGGCAAAUCUUAUAUUUAUGUGGGUUUGAGCUCAUAGUAUGAUUGUUUUAAUCAUUUCAAGAAAGACAGAAAAGAAUUAACAAUUGUUUCCAUAAUCGCUUACUGAUCUCUAUUAACAACUCCUAGUAUUCAUUGCUUAUAAAAUGAAAAAUAUCAUUGUCAUUCAGAUACCAACGACCAUUAGCAGAAUCCCAAACGAUGAAGGUGGAGAAGAAAUCCCCAAAGAUUCUAUCCAGCAUGGAAGCCAGAAGAAGGUUGGGACACUGCUCCCUGUUGGGUCUCUUGCUCAUGCCUGCAGGUAACUCUCUUUUUGUAAAUCUUGUUUCUGAAACUCUACUGAAAAGCAAUGUUUCCAUGACAGAGAAGGCUUCACCUUCUCUGCAGAUUGCAAAAAAGUGGAAUAACAUCUUCCUAUGAGUUUUUUAUACUGUUAAAUUGAAAGUAAAUCAUUUAGAUAUUUGGUUGAUAUGUUGGGUUCAACUUGAACCCAGAACCAUUGGAAAUGAAUAAAGGAAUAAACUCCCACAGUUAAAUUUACAUUUGGUUAUAUAUUUGGACAAAGACUUACCGUUAAUAAAGUUGUGAUUUGGAUUGAAUUGACUUGUCAUAUUAGAUAUGCCCAUGAUGAUUGCUUUAUCCCUAACAUGGAACCCUGUAUGUAUGUAGCUAUCUCCUGGGUCAUUUCUUCUUGUUUCAUCAUUUCAAGCCUUGACAAAAGACCAUGAAUAGCGUGUCUUGCUUUUGUUACUCCACUUAAUUAUUUCUUGGUCUGUCUACAUAUUCCACAAUUAUUUUUUUGAAUUAUCUGUCAUGCAUGGUGGCCUUUGGACCAUAAACCAAAUGCCCAAAUACAUUGUAACCCACAUCCCCCACAUUUGCCACUCAUUGGUUUAAGUUUGGUGUCUGGUGACUAAAAUUACACUUCCACUAAGUGGGUCUGUCAAAAUUGAAUAACUAGAAAUAAUGUUUCAGCAUGCAUGUUGUCUUCUAGAAAAAGCACUUGAAAGUUAUGUUUAUUUUGUACAAGCUUUCCGAUUUCUUCUUUUGAUAUGGUUGAUUAUGUUUUUGUUUGGCAGGUCAACGGGGUGAGAUAGGAUUUUAAAAUCUUAUCAUGCAAACAGACCAAAAGGGUAUGGAUAAGUUAUCCAGCUAAGAUUUCUAAUUCUGACAAACUAGAAUAUCCUAGCCCUAUAAGGUUUUAUUUUUUAGACACUAUUAAAAUGGGCCCUUUUGCAGACAGUAAUACUAAUGCCCCAAGUUCUACAAGUAGUUAGUUACAUGUGACAAAAUUGACUGAGUUGGGAACCGGGUCGCACCAAUUCAUCCAAAGUCAAGUGGGGUUGAAGUUGGGAGAAGAACCCCUCAACUACCACACUAAUCAUGAUGGAGGAGGAGACACAUGAAUGAACAUCUGCACACUUCCAGCAUUUUUAAGUGGAAGGAAGCCAUCAGGAUCUCACCUUUUUAAGUGGCAGCCAAAUUAAAAAAACACACCCCAAAAUUGCAGCACAAAAAACUUUGAAAAGUUGGAUGACUCUCACCCAAUUGUCCCCUCUUUUUGCAUAGUUUAUUUUGCUUUCUUUUCUCAACAAACAAACACCAGGCAAAUUAGAUCUUCACGUAACAAAAAGGGCCCGGAGGCUUUCACAAACACCCCAUGUUUCAACAACUCUUCUGUAGUGGGGUAGUGCUCCAUGCACCAUUUAUUUUUAAAAAAAUUAAUAACGAAUUAUCAAGCAUGUGAUUAUAAUUUAUUUUUUUUAUAAAAAAAAUCAUCUUUAUCGAUUCAAUGAUGAACAUUUCGGUUGACUUUUUCAUUGACCAGUCCUAAAUCAAAAUCAUAGCAUUCUCCUUUUUAUUGUAGUGUGUAACAUAUAUUUAUAUAAAAAAAGCACAAUUCCAUUAUUGGGUUACAUUUCAGUAUUUUUCUUUAAUUUAAUUUAAUUAGUUGACUUAAGAAUUGGACCCAUGAAUGAAGUUCUAUGAUGGAAACUGGUGGCAGCCCUAUUUGGACUUCAACUUCCCUAGAAAAAACCGAGAACCUCGCUGAAUGAAUCUCAUGAAAAUAAAAGAGCACAAUUAUCUUAUUAUUUUUCUGGCAAACCAUAUAAAAUCAUGUACAAUCUCACUCUUGUGAAUAAUCUAAAUGAAAGUCAAUCCAACACUUGGGUUUCAAAAAUAUAAAAAAAGUAGCUGAUGACUGAUUGGUGCCAAAUCACUUAUCAAUAUCCCUGUAACAACAUGAAUUUCAUUGUUAAUUUUCUUGGUCAACUAUGGAUGGCAGAAGGAACGAUUAGUGAUGUUUGUGAUGGUGAGAUUGAAUAUUCAUUAUUAUUUUUUAUAUUAUUUGUAAGAGAAUAUUAGUUGCUUUGAAAUGGUUGAGAUAGUUCUCAGGUCAGCAAUAAAAGGGAUAGACCAUUAACCAAGGGAGAAAAAACCAAUGUUGACAUUAAGAAUAUUAAUCAUAUAUUUUUUUUACUAAACUAAUAAAAUGAGAGUUGAGACCAGAGAAAAUUAUAAGGUACUGAUUCAAUAUCAUAUCGAAUUUUAAAUCUCAAUUUUUUAUUUUGUUGUUAAACUUGGAGUAUUGAAUAAAGGUACGAAUAAAUAAGAUUAGAUUAAAAGAAAUGAGACAUUUCUUAUAUCAUGAUAUUUUGUAUUAAUUAGUACUUUUGGACUAGUAGAAGUCUAGAAGAGUCCUUGAAAUUGAGAAAUCAAAAUUUUAAUUUACAAAAAUGCACUUAAUAAUUUAAAGUGAUUUAAUAACUUAAUUUACGUCAUUAAGUAAAUUAAAUAUAUUUGGUAAAAUAAUUUAAUAGUUUGAUUUAAAGUAAAAAAUAAUUUUAAGUAAUAAAUAAAAAUAAUUAACUUAUUCUUGAAUCAAUAUCUUUUUUAUCCUGAUUUCUCUUAAUUAUCUUCAUAAUUUCUUUUGCUAUUAUAGAACUUUCAUUGUUAUUCAACCUCAUUUACCUUAUUUAUAAAUAUGAGAAUUAAUGAUUUAAAAUAAAUUUUAAUCUAAUUUUAUUAAACAAAUUUAAUACUUAAAGUAAUAUUUAAAUGAUAAAUUUUAAGUCAUUAAUUUAAGUAUAAUUUAACGUAAAUUGUUAAGUGAUAAGUUUUAUCACAUAGCCCCAAAUUUAGUAACUUGAAUUAAAAUUUUAACAUUAUCAAUAUUUUUUGGAAUCUAAACCUUUCCUUAUAUUAAUUUUAGGAAAACAAAAAAAAAGCAAAUCAUGAAAAUAACAACUACUUUGUGAUUAAUUUUUUUUGGAAAAUUAAACACUUUCAAGAAAGUGAAUCCUGAAGAUAAUUUUUAUUUUCUUAAUUAAGUCAUUUUUUUUUACUUGAAAUAAUUACCAUAAAAACUCUGUGGCAGGAAAAUUCAACUUUAACAAGGAAUAUUCUUGAUAUUCCAAUUUUGAUUUAAAAAAUUAUGGAUCACAAACACUAAAAGAAGAAUAAUUGUUCCUACAGCUUUCUUCUAUGCCUGCAAAUUUAAUAACUUGCCAAUGAGAGAAUGUAAGAAAUAAUAAAAUCAAAAUCAUAUAAAGAUUUCAUACAGUCAUUCAAAAUAUCUUUUACAUGAUUCUACUCAAUAUUACAGCUAGAAAUUUCCUUCUCUAGAGUUUAUCUCCAUGCAUGCAUGGAAAGCUGAAUAAAAACAUAUCACAAUUCCAUAGUUUUCCAUCUAUGGGUUUAGGGUUUCAAAUCCUUCAUUAUUGUAUAUAAUUAAUGAGAAUUAAUGAGAUUCUUACCGGCCAAACAACUCCAAGGAAGAUGGCCAAGUCUCUCUUUAUUUGCUCUAUCCUUCUCCUUCUUAAUUCUUUCCUUUCUUUCCGAUCUUCUGCAACAAACCUAGCAUAUUCCACGCCCUUUGAUCGUUGGUUUUUCAAGGUCUUUGGGGACGAAAACAUAAAAUCUGUACACAAUGGCACAGUGGCGAAGAUCAGUCUGGAUCAGAAAACUGGUUCUGAGUUUGUCUCUUCAGAUAUUUUCCUCCAUGGAUACUUCAGUGCCUCCAUUAAACUACCAAGAAACCAGGACACUGCAGGAGUUGUGGUUGCGUUUUUUACCAUGAAUCAAGACAUAUACAGCAGGAACCAGGACGAAGCGACCUUCGAGUUCCUGGGAAACGUCAAAGGCAAAGAGUGGGUGGUUCAGACCAAUAUUCAUGGCAAUACAACCAUCAGAAACAGCACCAGUAAAGGAAGAGAAGAGCGCUACACCCUCUGGUUCGACCCAUCCGCAGAUUUUCACAAGUACAGUAUCCUCUGGACUGAAAACCAUAUCAUAUUUUACGUUGAUGAUGUCCCCAUAAGGUUGUUCAUGAGGACAAAAGCCAUAGGAAACUACUUCAUCACUAGUCCAAUGUAUGUGUAUGGCUCAAUACGGGACGGGUCAGACUGGGCCACUGAUGGAGGAAAACAGAAAGUGGAUUACAAGUAUGCUCCAUUCACUGCUGCAUUUUCUGAGUUAAUUUUACUGGGAUGUCCAGCUGACCCAAUUGAUCUCAAACCCUAUUGCAUUGACGAGGACCCAUGGGAGAAGAAGGUUCCUACUGGUUUGACAAGAAAGGAAAUCACCCAGAUGAGGAGGUUCAGGCACAAGUUCAUGACAUAUUCUUAUUGCUUUGAUAAGGAAAGGUACCCAGUUACUCCACCAGAGUGUUUUGUUGAUGGCCGUGAAAUGGAGCCGCCUCAAAAUUUCGACCCUGUUGUGUUUGGUGGAGACCCAGUUGAGAAGUGAAGAAGGGAUUUCUACUGAGUUUUUUCUAGGGUUUUUAGGUUGAUAUUUGUUUAGGGCCUUGUGAUUAGUAAAAGCAUAUAGUUAGGAAGUUUAUUAGUAAUAACAUUCUACAUUGUUUUAAGGAAAUUUAUAACAUUGAUAUUUGAUCAUGUGUUUGAUAAGAUUUGAAUGCAAUUAAGUAUCAUUGUAUUACUUUGAUUUUCAUAUGAUAAUAUGAAGAGUUAAUGUAGAAACUCUUCAACUUGAUUUUUUCUUUGCAGAUUGUUAAUUAUUGUAUUUAUGCAUGCUAUCAAGAAGAGGGGAAGCCAAUGUGAUUAAGGGUUCGGUCUAUGAUUUUAAAGAAGGGUUGAAGAAAGAUACGAUGGAAAGGAUUAUUUUAUCAAAUAUAAGGUAGGAUGAUGCAUGCAAAAGAAAAUUAAUAAAAUUAAUAUAUGGAUGAAAUGAAAAUUAAUCAAAAUUCAUAAAAUAUUAGAAAAAAAUAUAAAUAUAUGAUAAUAUAAGUAUAUUGAAUUUGUUUUAUUAAUGAAAAUAAUAUUUAUGUAUAAUAAAAUUUAUAACAUUAAGAUAAUACUCUAUAUGCAUUCAAAGAUAUAAAAUAAAUGAUAAUAUAUUGAUAUAAUUAUCUUAUUUAAAAAUUUAAAUUUUGGGUUGGAUCAAAUUUGAAAAUAAGAUAAUUUAUUUUAAAUUUUGUGUAUUAUAAAACUGAUACAAUUACUAACAAAAUACCAUAUUUAGAAGUAUAUUUAGAGUGCGUUUGGGAGUGAUUAUAGAAAGCGUUGCUAACAUUUUAAACAUAGGGUUUGGCAUCACUAUCAAAUACUGGGAUCACUAUCAAAUGAUAAAAAAUUUCAAAUAUUAAAAAUGCUUCUUAAAAUUACUAUCAAACGGGCUCUUACUUUGCAAUUUUGAUAAAAAUAGAAUUGUGAUAUUGAGAUCUUGGGUAGAGAGGCAGACCCAUGUGACAGUCUAACAAUGGAAUUGUGAUAUUGAGACCUUGGGUAGAGAGGCAAAUUUAGGAUAUAUUGAGAUAUUGGGUAGAGGCAAAUUUAGAAGAUAAUAAAAAAAAAUUCCAAAAACCAUUGUUAAAUCAUUAGGAAUAUUUGUUUCAAAAGUGCCCCUCAUUUCUUAUUAUAUACUUUUAAGGCCACUUUUUUUCAAUUAUUAUGAAUUCAUUAAAAUGGUAAUAAUAAUUGAUAUAGUAGAAAUGAGAUUUAAGAUCAGAGCGAUGAUUCCAUUCCAUGUACAAUUAAAAUUAUUUUUGGAGAAUAACUCAAACCUACCAAGAAUGAUAAAAAUAAGAAAAAGCAAGAAAGAAAGAAAACAACUUCACAAGGUAAAAAUUAAUUUCAAAAUCUCUUUAAAAUGUUUACAAAUCAAUCAAACAGAUACUUAUUUACUUUGGAUUAUUAUCUCAGACUUUUGUCACUUUUCUUUCCUUAACUCUCUCAAUCAAUGUGUGGCUGCUGACAAAAAUAUCCCCAUCCCUUCCUCUUUCAUCACAUGCCAAACAACCAAAGAAAAUAAUAGGAAAAUCCGAAUAAAAAUUCCUAUUUUAAAUGAAGAUAUGAAUGAAUAAGAUUUAAAAAUAUAUGUGUGAAAAAAAUAGACUCCAACCCAAAAUAAUAAUGAGCUUUCGUAUGUGAAAAUGAGUUAGUAGUUUGGUCAUUGGUGUGGAAAGAGGACCUAAUAAAUAUGUUUUCUGCAGGUUGGAACUGCCCUCCGUUUGAGGCAUCGGUUGAGGGCCUAGGUGCCCUAAAAUCAAGGGUCACAGCAGAAGAAGUUGUCAUACGUGGGGGUCACCCACCACUGACAGUUUUGACUCUCCAAACCCUGUGUCCCCUCAUCAACGACCCUUAACUUAAUGCCUUUCCUAAUCCUAACACUCCCAACAACCCCAUUAAUACUGGGCUUUCUUCACUUCAAAAUCAAAAGAUUCAAAACGUUUUACGAAAGCCUCUUUGGUUUUUUGAAUUACCCAUCACCAAAUUUAGAGGAUUAAAGCAGCCCCUUCGGCCCCUCCACCCACUACUACAUAAAGAGAUAAAGAAAAAGCAAAGGAUAACGCCAAAAAAAAAGAGAGGAAGAAAAGCAUUUAAUUCUCUUCAUUAUGGUUGCUAACAAAAUAACAAAGAACACUACAAACGCAAGCAUCGUUUGGUCGUCGUCAUUAUCUUGAUCACCAUUGAUUCAUUGACUGAUCACUUCCUAACUGAAACGAAAGGACUGCAACUCAGAAAUUUACAUGCUUUCAAACUCUAAAACAGCCACCAUGGUGGUGGUGGUGGUUAUGGUUCUGAGGGUGAAGAGAGUGUUCUCUGUCGAUCAUGCCUUGAACGUAUCGGAACUCCUCGACAUGACAGGGAAUGGUGAUUGCCCCUUGCUGCUCAAACCCAUAUUCCUCUUCGGCUUCCUUAAGCAACUGCAUGAAGAGAGGGUGAUUGAAGUAUAUUACUGGGACUAUGAAUCUCUGUUGCUCUUCUCCUUGCCCUACCUUGAUAGCCAAACACCCCUUUGGAACAUCCCUGUACUGCUUUUUCCCAUGAAGGUGAGGGAGAUGCAGAUGGAAGUUCAGAAGACCCUUUUCUCCGCUACCCAUCUCUGCAAAACCUAAAACUGCAACAAGAAGUCAACAACAGACGCACAAAACCCUAAACCCUUAACUUUCUCUGCUGUUUUCCAGAGAAAAUUUUACAAGAGAUAAGAAGCUCAGAAACCCUGGAAGCUUGGUCAUGGUUGAUCAACUCCUCCCACACACACAACCAACACAUGUAAGAACCAGAAAAAAGACUAGAUAUAGAGAGAGAGAAUUCAAGGAAAAAAAAAUGAAAAAGAAAAAGAUAAAAAUUAAAAAAAUUGAAAAAGCCCAAGAAAAUCCAACAGAACUGGCGGGUUUUUAUAAGGUGUAUCGCUAGGGCGCUCCCGAUUUGUACACGUAAAGUGUCGGGCAGAGCACGUGGACGGUCACUGGUGCCUGGUGGGACACGUGGCGCAUCUUGGGGACGUGAAUCAUGAGAUCGCCGACAGUGAUGUGUCAUCUAGAGGUGGACAUUUGGGUGGACAGCCAAUAGCAGGUCUGGAACAUGUCCAAGUGGACAUCAACAUGCCACGUCAGCGUGUGGGGGGCCAUGACGACAGUGAUCUUUGGUCUCUGACCUUGGAUGAUUGAAACCACGGUGGGGUCCUUUGGGUGGACGUACACUACACGAGUAGAAUAUAUGUACCCCACAUGCGGCAGAAUAAAAUCGGGGUAGUGAAAUGACAAAAUUGUCCUCCUCCUAUGAGUUAAAUCCCAGCUCUGGGUCCCAAAAUCUUGUACCCCGGAUACGGUGUUGGAUUUUACGGACCGGCAACGGCUUCCUCCUUAACGGGACUAUAGACGAAGGGGUUUCCAUACUCUACGGUGUCAUCCACCAAAAGAAAUGGUAGACCCUCGAGAAUACCCGACCAUCCAAUUUAACGGCUAUGAUCAAGGCUAAAUCAUAUCCUUUUGGUGAUAAUGCAAAGAUGGUUAAUCAUGGACAAAAAGGAAAAAAAUAAAAUAAAAUAUAUUGACCAAAAUCUCAACUAAAAUAUCAGAAUUAUUGGUAAGAUUGCGUUUGGUUUAAACAUAUUUUCUAAGUGGAUUAAUUCUCUUCCAUAUAAUAUAUUUUUUAAACAACCAUAACUAAGGAAAGACAAUAUAAUUGGAAAUGAAUAAACAAACCAAAAUUUUACAUGUAUUAAUCAUUUUGGGUUCUCAGAAAAUUAGUGGAAAAACGUGAGAGAAAUAAAAUAAAGAAAAAAUGUGGGAAAAAAAAAAAACAGAUCCAAAAUCAAUAAAUUAUUUUUACAUCUUUUUUCAAAUUCAUUUCAUUUGUUUUAUAUUAUCUAAACAUUAAAUAAUUUUAAAAUACAUAAUUUUUAUUAAUUUUUUUUUAAUUCCUUAAUAUUUUUUAGGAAUCAAAUAUAAAAUAACUAUUAUUAGAUAUUUAAUUUAAAUAUGUGUAAUUAUUUAAAAUAAAAUAAAAAAACAAAAAAGAAAAUUAUUCUAUUCUAAACUAAUAUAGCACUUUUUAAAAUAUGAUAUAUGCCAAAUAAGUGAAAUUAUUAGAGUAAUUAAGUAAAAUAUUAUAUGAUAAUUAGGAUUAAGGGAUUAAUAUGAUCAAUUUUCUUUGUUCCUUCAUUUCUCUCACAUACCCUUCCCCAAACAAUCUUCCUAAUCUUUAUUGAAAGUUAAAUAAGGUAAGAUGAGACUCAUAUCUCACAAAUCUCCCAUCAUUAGAAAAUUUCUAAUGGAAUAUCUCCAUGAUUUAAUUCCAAAUUCCCAUUUUGAAUUCUUGAGUUAUUAAGAACCAUUGCCAAACAAUACCCACUAAGUAUUGCCUACCCUUUGCUCUUUUUUUUUUUUUUAAAAAAAAAAGAAGAAGUGAAAAUAUAGAAUUAAAUAGAGUUAGAUGGUGGGGGAAAAGAUGCAAAGUCAAGAGGAGUGGAGAAGCCAUCCAAAGUGGGAUUAGUGAGUGUGGGCUUUUUGGAGGAAAGCAAAAGCUUUGUAAAGAUGUUUUGACAUGUUGAUAUUCUCCAUUGGUAAUUGGAGGUGGGCUUUACCUUUGAAUGUUUAUUAUAUUAUAUGGUGAAAAACAUUUGACUUCAAUUAAAUUAGAGAAUAUUUUUCAUUAAAGUCAAGGACAUGAAGCACUUAUGUAUUUUCACAACAUAGAAUUUUCCACUCCACUUGUUGGGGGGUUUUGUCUUGUUUGGAAAGCUUCAUUUUUAGAGGAAUUGCCAUUACCUUUCAAUAAAUAAUAAUAAUAAUAAUAAUAAUAAUAAAAGAAGGAAAAUUCAAUGUGCUUGACAAAAAUUAUUUGAAAUUUAAAUUAAAUUUUAAUUUUCCUUUUUCUUUCUUUGUCCAUUUACUAUGUAACUCCAAAUUUGAACUUGAAUUUCCAAUAUUGGAAAAAUAUAAAUAAUCGGGGAAUGUGAAAAAAUUAGAACAUGUUUAAUAACUGUUUUUUAGAACAAUUCUCUGUUUUCUAAAAAUAAGAAAACACAUUUGGUAAUAAAAAAUUCUUUUAUGUUUUCUAUUUUUAAGAACAAAAAAAUAGAAUGUUUUUUUAUAAUAUCUUUAAGUUUUUUCUAUUAUUUUCACUUGUUUUAUAAAAGUUAUUUUUAAAAAAAUCAUUUAUACAAACAUGUAGUAUGAUUAAAAAUAAAACAAUAAACAUAAAAAUUAUUUUGAAAACAUAUUUAAAAAUAUUAAAAAUAUUUUAAAUUUUUAAACAAAUUUUUAUUUUACAUAAAAUUAAAGAACAGUUUUCAAAAACUGUUCUUAAAAACUAUAAUUCAAAAUAGUUUUUAAAAACAAUUAUCAAAUAUACCCUUAAUUUAUUGUCCUCUUUUAUCGUAAUUGCAUCAGAAGUAAAUAUGAGAAGUUAGUAAUUUUGCUUGAAAUUAUUUGGUAUAUGAUUGUAGGUUUCUUACAUUAACAACUGCAUGUGGAUCAAUUAUUGCAGGUUAUAUAUUGAACUUAUGAAGGUACAAUCAAUAAUACAGUGUCACAUGUGUUGGGACAUAUUAUCAUGUGUUUUAAGACAAUUCUGUACUAAUAUGAGACUUGAUGUAUGUUACGUCUGGGCUCGUGUAUGAAUAUGUUUCUACUCUCUCUCUCUUUCUCAUUUCUCUUGAUGUGAUUUAAGACAAUUCUGUACUAAUAUGAGACUUGAUGUAUGUUACCUGUGGGCUCUUGUGUAUGAAUCUCUCUCUCUCUCUCAUGGGUUUUUACUAAUUUAAAUUUUAAGUUCAAAAUACAUUUAAACUUUUCAACCCAAAUAAAUAUAUUGAAAAAUUAAUUUAAUCAAAGUCUCAUAAUGAUAAAUUACUUUAAUAUAAUCCACAAAAUAUAUAUAAUAAUAAAUAUUUAAAAACUCUUAAAAUAUUGAAAAAUUAUAAAUCACAAAAGAGAUAUCCGUUUGGUUUGAUUUUUAUCAAUUAUGAGAUAAGGAAAUUGAAUUGAUAAAAUCGAUUUUUGAAAUUCUCAAACCCCAUAAACUUUUUAUUGAUGUUGAAAAUCGAAUCGAUUCAAUCAAUUUUGAUUGGAUUAGAUUGGUUUGAUCGGUUGUUCGGUUUUCAAUUGCACCUUUACUUUGACCAUUGAUGUCAAUUUUCAAGUAUGGUAGAUCUGAAGUGAUUUCUCAUAGUAUGUCUUUUGGUAAAGGGAAAAGAGCAAAAAUCUCCUCCAACAUAAUUAUGGCUACAUAAUCUUUUAUGUCACCUUGGCAUAGUGCCCCAAUGCUGUUAAAUCUAGCCAAAUCAAGAGUGACAUGAGUUCAAAAUACCUCUUACCACAGAUAGGUAAAAGUAACGAUGGCAACCACUGGAUUCAAGAUGCAUCGGGCCUACUCCGUUCAUAUGCUCUUUAUGAAAAUCUAUUUUUGUCGCAUGUGUGAGACAAGUCAAUACCCGAACCCUCUCACCCAUUUAUCUUCGUAUAAAAUCUGAUCCAUCAGGGGCAGAUUUGGGCGAAAUUCCCAUUUUUUUAAAAUUCAUUUCCUGAUUUUGUUGCCACUCUCCGAUACCCAAUCUUAUCUCACUCUGCCAUGUUCCUCUACCUCAAAACUCUCGUCACCUUACGACCUAACAUAAAUGGCCCUCGGCAAUUAAGUAGCCUUACAUAAACAAAGAAAAAAAUAUGUUUGGAUGAUGAGAAAUUACGGAUUUUUGAAUUUAUAUUCUUGGAAUGCACACUUGGUGUAUGUUUUCUCUUUGGAAACGUUCUGUAAAUUUGGGUCUAUGGGUGGAACUACAAGAUUUGGGCCUGCAGAAUUCACAAGGAAAUUUGCAAAUUAAAGAUGAUGGUUCUACUAAAUUUAGGUCCACUGAUCAGUUCCACAAUUUGGGCCAGCUCAAUGUUGAUUUUAGGUUGUUAUGGGCCGGAAAAAUUGGUGGCCCAGAUCAAGUAUGUGUUUGAAAUCCUUGGCUCUGCCUUAAUCACACUGGUUAUGGCAUUGGAGUCCUCAUGAGUUUGGAUAAGGCCAAUGGCCCACGAUCAGGCCCAUCAAUGCUGGGCCACUUGCACUGUGGGCUCAGGCCCAUAUGAAGCAAAGAAUCACCCUAAAGCUGGCUCAUUAGUGGGUCCAACACAGCCCAUCUUAGCCCACCCAUCACCAGUGAUUUCACCUCACAGCCAUGUCUGAAUUCUCCCGACUAGUUCUUCAUAUGAUGCAAUGAAACUCGGUGUUUCUAUAAAAGCAUGGGGCCAGCCAUUAAUCCGACAUAGUUUUAAAGCUGUGAGAGUCAUGGGUCCAAAGAAAUGUGUGGAAUUUGGUCACCCAAGAAUCACAUGGACUACAAUAGGGACAUCUGCUCGAGACUUAUAACCGAUAUGAAUCAUCUGAUAUAUGUGCAUACAAAAGUGAAUCAAAACAACUAUUUUGCACACCUAGAGAUUGUAAUUGAAGUAAAAUUUCCAUUUCUUGAUAGAAAGUUGAGGACAACCCAUCUGCAUAGGAAAGUGAAUUAGUACCCUCUUCUUACAUGGGAAAAUGAUACUUUUGUUGAAUGAAUGCUCUCUCACCUGGUUGUGGGGUUUUGUAAGUAAAAUAUUGCCUGAGUAAAGCUGAAGACUGGACUAGUGUUCCACAACAAGUGUAAAGGCCUUGUUUGAAUGCCUAGUCUGAGACCCAUAGUUCAAUAGCUUGUACACAGCUAGGAGAUAUGGAUAAAGCUACUACCAUGAGGUCCUGAGCUUCCCAAAUCCAACAGUCCAAAAACUUUGAAAAGUUUUUCCAAAGUCCUGGUCAAGUUGUACACACAGAUCAAUUAUUCAUGGAAAGUUGUGGCCAUAAAGUUGUUGUUUUCCUCUAUCUAUUGCUCUCAAAUCAUGGGUUAAAAGUAAAGCAAAGUAACAAGUGUUCUACUUUAUAUUUACAAAGUCAAAAAGAUCCAAAUUCCCAAAAGGCACUUCUCCACACAAACCAUUCACACAAAGCCCUAUUCUCAAACCCUCCCCCAAAGUCUCAACAGCAAUGAAGAUAGGGGUGAGAAAGUUUGAUGACUCCCAAGGAUGUGUAAUAUAAUGCCAUGUAUUAAUAGUAAAUAACAAAGAAAGAGAAAACAAAAAAAAAAAACUGACAUUUGCUUCCUAGAUUCCUAGCCAGCUUUUUGGACAUGAAGAUUGAACAGUGAUUCAAAAUCAGAGGUGGGAUCAUCACAGCCCAUUAAUAUCCAUUUCAUGGCUUGAAGAGCCAUCCAUGUCUGACCUUGUAUGCUGACGUGCUUCAAACGUGUAAAGAAGAAUGGAGAGAUAAGAGAGAGAGUGAUUGAGGCUAUGGGUGUAGAGGCCUGGUGACUCUUCCCUUAGCUGUCUUUACAAUCAACUGUUUUCUCUGCAUAGUUUUGACGAGUACUCUUUCUGAGCUCCCAUGAAAAAAGCAAAGUAAAGGGAAAGUGAGAUGGGAAAGAAACACAGACAGACACCAAAAAUCAGAACCCCAUUUUAUUACCUCUUGGGUUCAUCAAUAAUUCCCUAUAAAGUGUAGUUUAAGAUAACAUAUGAAGAAAUUCAACAUCUUCUAAUUGUGGGUUUACCCAUUGAAGCUUGUGGGUAAUUCACCUGCAAAAUGCUCCUCAGAAACAACCCAAUUAGAAUCACACUAUUGAACUCCAUGAAAGGUGGGAGCUUUGGUGAAAGCCUUGGGAAGAUUUCUACCUAAUAUUUUAUGAGUAAACCAUGGAUGAGCCAAGCUAGGGUUUUAGAUGAGAAGAAAAUAAAGCCAUGACCAGUGGUCUGCCUCGGACACGCACCCAACAAUUUGAAAGCAGGUUUUACUGCCUUAACUCUACUGCUCAAAUCUAUGGUAUACAUGUAUGUUACAGAAAAUAAAAAGAUCUAACAUAAGACAAAACAUCCCUAUACAACAUUAUUGAACCCAAACCCUAAUGCAAUAAUAGAAUGAGAAAAUCAAAUUUGCAAAAAUAUUAUUCAAUCACAAACCCCAAAAUCAUUAAUGCAGAUCCUUCUAAUCUUUACCCAUGCAAAGCUUACAAUUGGAUGAUGGAUCAGAAACCUGGAUCAGAAUUCUAACAAAAAAGAAAAAAAAAAUGCUUAGAUGAAAGUGAAACAAAAGGGGACGGAGAUUACAAUGCUUCACAAACCUGCCCACCAUAAAGAUGAGAAAAGGUAAAGGAUACAUCCAAAAGAUAAAUCAGAGAUGAGUUGAGUUCAAAAUGAAAGACAAGACAAUCGAUAUGAUAUUACAGGACUGUAACAAGCAAUGACAUUGCAGGGUAGUACUUCUCUGAUGGGUAUUCUAGCUUAGUGUAGAUAGACAUUUAAGAUCCAGUGAUUCUGAAAUCAAAAGCCCAAUCUGCACCAUGAAGUAACCAGAAAGAAGAAGAAGAGGAGGAGGAGGAGGAGGAGGAGGAACGGUGAAAAACAAGAAGAGGAGGAUGUGGUUUUGAGUUUAAAAAAGGUUGGGUUUCAAACCCAGAUCUGAAAGUAGCAGAAACAGACAGAUCAGAUACUGAAAGCCAUCAUGAGCAACAUCUGCCUAAUGAUGAACCAGAAAAGGGGCUAUGACUGACAAAAACACCAUGAUGAGAAAAAGAAAAGAAAAAUAAAAAGGAGUCAUGAUGAAAUACUUUUAUGCAGCUGAUCAAGCAAAUGUAUAAUAGUCAAAAUCCUUCAUCAUUACACCAAUCUGCACAUCCCUAACAACCUUAAUUUCUCUAAAACCUAAAACCCUACCAUUGUAAACCCCCUCUUGCUCCCAAAAACCGCAGGAAAAAAAUCACUUCACCAUUACACCAGUCUCCUCCUCAGCAAGAACCAAAUCAAUUUGCCUGAAAAUCAAAAACCCAUUACUCAAAACCCCCAAUAAUUCCCAAAAAUGGACAAAGGUAACAAACCCGUUAGCAACUGCACGUGGAACCCAAGAUCAAGCCCGAGAAAAGCUCUCCAUGGAAGCGAUAAUUGGGGGGAAUGAAGCCUGGUCCGACGACACCAACACAUGCUCAGUACAAAUAAAAAUACAAUAAUACAUAUAUAUAGGUGAUAUGGAUCUAGAGAAACGGAUCAAAGUUAAGGUAAGUGUCCUCGAGCCAGACAACAUUCCCCUCAAAAUAGAAGCUCCAUGGCCUCCAAUCUUCACCCCGUCAAAGCCUUAGCCUUUUGUGUGUUUCUCCCCAACUCUCUCCUCUCUUCUCCCUUUUAUCCCCCCUAGACUCUCGCCUUUCUUCAAGGGGGAUGAGGAGAGAGAAUUAUAGAGAUAGAAAGAGAGAUGUGUGUGUUGUGAUCAUGAUGAAGAGAAUGAUUUGGGGGUUAUAAGAAGAGUAAAAAAGAGUUGAAGGCCAACGUAAAACAAGAAGACAAAACCAAUAGCCCCAGACCCAGACCCUACCAUUUGGGUUCCAGAAAUGACCACGACCCCAUGCACCCUCUUUCUCUCUCUGAAUCUCCACCCUCCAUUCCGUGUACCCUCUGUAUCCACUUGUACCAUAAACCCAAAACCCACCGUUUUGGACCUUUGGAUCAAUAGGGUGUAGAGUGAUCCAAUGUUGCGG
This 23537-nucleotide long non-coding RNA is filed under the name Vitis vinifera (wine grape). RNAcentral describes it as "long non-coding RNA (VVIN_LNC005202)". The record is from RNAcentral. Lineage: Eukaryota; Viridiplantae; Streptophyta; Magnoliopsida; Vitales; Vitaceae.